This 624-nucleotide long non-coding RNA is filed under the name Rattus norvegicus (Norway rat). Its description in RNAcentral is "long non-coding RNA NONRATT016015". The record is from RNAcentral. Lineage: Eukaryota; Metazoa; Chordata; Mammalia; Rodentia; Muridae.
GCACCAGCUCGUGGAGAUCAUUAACAGACCCAACACCCCAAAGACGCUGUUGGAGAACACAGCAAUAACAAUUGGUCGUCUUGGUUACGUUUGUCCUCAAGAGGUGGCCCCCAUGCUACAGCAGUUUAUAAGACCCUGGUGUACCUCUCUGAGAAACAUAAGAGACAAUGAAGAAAAAGAUUCAGCAUUCCGUGGGAUUUGUACCAUGAUCAGUGUGAAUCCUAGUGGCGUAAUCCAAGUAAGGUGUUCACAGGGCUUUGUUUUGAGUGGACCGAGUGCUAAAUAAUACAUUUUUAAAGGGAAUACAUUUUAAGGAUUUAGUUAUAUUUGUUUAUUGUGUGUGGACACACACGUGCCAUUGCACACACGUGAGAGUCCGGACAACCUGUAGAAGUCAGUUCUGUCCUCUAACAAGUGGGUUUUCUUGGGGCUGACCUGAGGUUCUAAGGCAUGGCGGCAUACCACUGGUGUCUUGUCUUGGCAGAUUGGGAGAGGAAGGUUACAUUGUUUGCUCCUUUUUAUGCACAUUCCCUCAUUUAUUAAUUUUGUACAUGCCUCCUGUCCAUGGAUACAGCUUUACUGAGUUUGAACUUAAAAAUAGCAAAUAAAAUAGAAUAGUGAUUU